Molecule: ribosomal RNA, 248 nt
Filed under: uncultured bacterium
Lineage: Bacteria
Description: partial 16S ribosomal RNA
Rfam family: Bacterial small subunit ribosomal RNA
Source: RNAcentral
AAGAUGGCGACCGGCGCACGGGUGAGUAACACGUAUCCAACCUGCCGAUAACUCGGGGAUAGCCUUUCGAAAGAAAGAUUAAUAUCCGAUGGUAUAUUAAGAUCGCAUGAUUUUACUGUUAAAGAAUUUCGGUUAUCGAUGGGGAUGCGUUCCAUUAGUUUGUUGGCGGGGUAACGGCCCACCAAGACUACGAUGGAUAGGGGUUCUGAGAGGAAGGUCCCCCACAUUGGAACUGAGACACGGUCCAA